GAGUUUGAUCCUGGCUCAGAGUGAACGCUGGCGGCAGGCCUAACACAUGCAAGUCGAACGGCAGCGCAGCAGUAGCAAUACUGUGGGCGGCGAGUGGCGGACGGGUGAGGAAUACAUCGGAAUCUACCUUGUCGUGGGGGGAUAACGUAGGGAAACUUACGCUAAUACCGCAUACGACCUACGGGUGAAAGCGGCGGACCGCAAGGCGUCGCGCGAUUGGAUGAGCCGAUGUCCGAUUAGCUAGUUGGCGGGGUAAAGGCCCACCAAGGCGACGAUCGGUAGCUGGUCUGAGAGGAUGAUCAGCCACACUGGAACUGAGACACGGUCCAGACUCCUACGGGAGGCAGCAGUGGGGAAUAUUGGACAAUGGGCGCAAGCCUGAUCCAGCCAUGCCGCGUGUGUGAAGAAGGCC
This 412-nucleotide ribosomal RNA is filed under the name uncultured Gammaproteobacteria bacterium. RNAcentral's name for it is "bacterial SSU rRNA". It matches the Rfam family "Bacterial small subunit ribosomal RNA", at positions 9 to 416 of the family's 1533-position model. The record is from RNAcentral. Lineage: Bacteria; Pseudomonadati; Pseudomonadota; Gammaproteobacteria.